Molecule: long non-coding RNA, 198 nt
Organism: Amphimedon queenslandica
Lineage: Eukaryota; Metazoa; Porifera; Demospongiae; Haplosclerida; Niphatidae
Exons: 3
Source: RefSeq, a predicted model, not a curated record
GGUGAAUGUAUUAGUGAUCAUGAUGAUGAAGAUAUUGUACUGAGAGACUUAUGAAUGAUAGUCACAAGUGUGAAUUUUUGAUGCAGAAGAUUAUUCUGGAAAUAUUAGUAUAGCCACUAGAAUAGUUACCUUAUCUCACUAAGUUUCAAGACAAGAAUAUCUUAGGUUUGUUUAAUUUCAUGUGAAAAGCUAAAUUCA